This 90-nucleotide ribosomal RNA is filed under the name Bacillus sp. CPSM8. Its description in RNAcentral is "partial 16S ribosomal RNA". It matches the Rfam family "Bacterial small subunit ribosomal RNA", at positions 1 to 87 of the family's 1533-position model. The record is from RNAcentral. Lineage: Bacteria; Bacillati; Bacillota; Bacilli; Caryophanales; Bacillaceae.
UUUCAUGGAGAGUUUGAUCCUGGCUCAGGACGAACGCUGGCGGCGUGCCUAAUACAUGCAAGUCGAGCGGACAGAUGGGAGCUUGCUCCC